This is a non-coding RNA of Pangasianodon gigas (Mekong giant catfish), 72 nucleotides long. NCBI's taxonomy places the organism in Eukaryota, Metazoa, Chordata, Actinopteri, Siluriformes, Pangasiidae. The record is from the annotation of a GenBank genome assembly.
AGGUGUCUCCACGUAGCCCAUUAAAUUGAUUAAUGAUGCACAAUGGACACUAGCAUUUCAGAAAAAAAAAAU